UACGUAGGGUGCAAGCGUUGUCCGGAAUUAUUGGGCGUAAAGGGCUCGUAGGCGGUCCAUCGCGUCGGGAGUGAAAAGCUGGGGCUCAACCCCAGUCCUGCUUCCGAUACGGGUGGACUAGAGGUAGGCAGGGGAGAACGGAAUUCCUGGUGUAGCGGUGAAAUGCGCAGAUAUCAGGAGGAACACCGGUGGCGAAGGCGGAUCUCUGGGCCAUUACUGACGCUGAGGAGCGAAAGCGUGGGGAGCGAACAGG
This 253-nucleotide ribosomal RNA is filed under the name uncultured bacterium. RNAcentral describes it as "partial 16S ribosomal RNA". It matches the Rfam family "Bacterial small subunit ribosomal RNA", at positions 524 to 776 of the family's 1533-position model. The record is from RNAcentral.